Molecule: long non-coding RNA, 1486 nt
Organism: Anarrhichthys ocellatus (wolf-eel)
Lineage: Eukaryota; Metazoa; Chordata; Actinopteri; Perciformes; Anarhichadidae
Exons: 3
Source: RefSeq, a predicted model, not a curated record
UAUAAAUGUAUGAUACGGCAGCUUGUGUUUUACUUUUACAGUACCUGUGAAUAAAAUGUUUCUUCUUACUGAUGAAUCAGAGUUGAAUGUUGUUUCCUGGUUCACACAUUCUAUAUUCACGGGCUUGAUUGUCUCCACACCAUUGCAAAGAAAAAAAGGGCCAAACAAGCUUUCUGUCUGCAAUCUUCUCAGGAAAUCAAAACAUUUACAUUUAUAUUUUUGGCAGCUCUAAAUCUCAUAUACAUACAUAACAUAAGAAAUAAAAUCCAGUAUUUGACACAUGGACAUUUGUGUAGCUUGCUUACUUUUGCACACCUUAAUUUUUGGUCUUUAUGCAAUUUUUAAACUCAUAAGAUUUCCAUUAGUUUAUUAUAAAACAACACGAUAGGCUAAAGACCUUGCCCAUUCUGUUGCUAGGGCAACAGCUUUGGUCCAAGUUAAGGUUUAUUGUCAGCUAUACUGCACUAACAAUCAUUUCAACAGGAAAUAGAAAGUGGCCCAUUAUGAAUGCUUACGUUGUACGAUUUUAAAAGGUCUGUAUAAUAGUAUAUGCAUUCGACAAACAAGAGUAACAACAAGGCUACAUUUGUCACUAAAUUGACAUGUAUUUACCUACACAUGAAAGUAUAUAAGGAAAUCCGGAGAAAUGCUUGUAUUACUGCCGCUACCGUCUCAUGCACACUGCGCAUGCGCGAGCCAGUACCAGAGGAAGUGUUUAAAAUAAAAAUAGUUUUGCAAAAAUGCAUGUGUUUUGGAACUACUGAGCAUACGAUUUAUACUAUACUGCGCGAGUUGUGUUGAUAUUUUGUAUACGGAAUAGUUUUGCUGUUGUUAAACCUAUAGCCUCCAUUUACGUUAACUCAUCAAGGAUUUACUCCGUUUUGGGACCGUCCAUUCCCCGCGGAGGCAUGCGAGGAAAGUUCUCUUCCAGAAGAAAGGUAACACCAGGUGAGUAAUUGAUAUACAAACGGCCAGUUUAAGGAUUAAGUGUUCCUGUAACAAACCUUGCCCCACCGGAUUGACCUCUUCUGUGAGACUUCGUGGGGGCGUGUCAGACUGUUGAUUGAGUCUCCUGAUGCACCUGAGCACGCUGUGGCCAAUUUAUUCCAAUUGUUAGAUAAUUAAAAUACUGUUCACAGCGUCUGCUGUGGGAUUGCGAUGAAAUUGUGCCAGGAAAGAAAUCUCGCUGUAGAAAUUUUUUUUCUUUCAUGUAAUUAUGUCAGUUUUGAAUGUGCACCACGCAUGUUUGAAGACAACCACCACGUGUUUGAACGUGUAAAUACCAACAACAUUAGAGGGGGAGGCGUGUGGAGUAGGUGAGACAAGGUCUGGAGCCGUCACCCACUGAGGGAGCCCAAGGGAGCCCAGGCAGUGAUCUACACUCUGGCAGGACACCCGCAGUCUUCAGCACGGUCACUCAUCAACCUGAAGCCUUCUCCUCUGAUCUGCUGACUCACUCUGCACACAGCGAACCAUUCCAGUCCAG